This 460-nucleotide ribosomal RNA is filed under the name uncultured bacterium. Its description in RNAcentral is "partial 16S ribosomal RNA". It matches the Rfam family "Bacterial small subunit ribosomal RNA", at positions 338 to 795 of the family's 1533-position model. The record is from RNAcentral.
CCUACGGGUGGCAGCAGUGAGGAAUAUUGGUCAAUGGGCGGAAGCCUGAACCAGCCAAGUCGCGUGAGGGAUUAAGGCCCUGCGGGUCGUAAACCUCUUUUGCCGGGGAGCAGUGGUCCGGACGCGUCCCGACCGGGAGAGUACCCGGAGAAAAAGCAUCGGCUAACUCCGUGCCAGCAGCCGCGGUAAUACGGAGGAUGCGAGCGUUAUCCGGAUUUAUUGGGUUUAGAGGGUGCGUAGGCGGGCAUUUAAGCCGGCGGUCAAAUGUCGGGGCUCAACCCCGGCCUGCCGUCGGAACUGGGUGGCUUGAGUGGGCGAGAAGUAUGCGGAAUGCGUGGUGUAGCGGUGAAAUGCAUAGAUAUCACGCAGAACCCCGAUUGCGAAGGCAGCAUACCGGCGCCCGACUGACGCUGAGGCACGAAAGUGUGGGGAUCGAACAGGAUUAGAUACCCUAGUAGUC